GAGUUUGAUCCUGGCUCAGGAUGAACGCUGGCGGCGUGCCUAAUACAUGCAAGUCGAGCGAACAGAUAAGGAGCUUGCUCCUUUGACGUUAGCGGCGGACGGGUGAGUAUCACGUGGGUAACCUACCCAUAAGACUGGAAUAACUCCGGGAAACCGGGGCUAAUGCCGGAUAAUAUUUAGAACCGCAUGGUUCUAAAGUGAAAGAUGGCCUUGCUAUCACUUAUGGAUGGACCCGCGCCGUAUUAGCUAGUUGGUAAGGUAACGGCUUACCAAGGCAACGAUACGUAGCCGACCUGAGAGGGUGAUCGGCACACUGGAACUGAGACACGGUCCAGACUCCUACGGGAGGCAGCAGUAGGAAUCUUCCGCAUGGGCGAAAGCCUGACGGAGCAACGCCGCGUGAGUGAUGAAGGUCUUCGGAUCGUAAAGCUCUGUUAUUAGGGAAGAACAAAUGCGUAAAGUAACUGUGCGCGUCUUUGACGGUACCUAAUCAAAAGCCCGGCUUACUACGUGCCACAGCCGCGGUAAUACGUAUGGUGGCAAGCCGUAUCCGGAAUUAUUGGGCGUAAACGCGCGUAGCGGUUUUUUAAGUCUGAUGUGAAAAGCCCACGGUCAACCGGGGGAUGGUCAUUGGAAACUGGGAAAACUUUGGGUGCAAAAU
RNAcentral lists this ribosomal RNA (661 nucleotides) under uncultured Staphylococcus sp. RNAcentral describes it as "bacterial SSU rRNA". It matches the Rfam family "Bacterial small subunit ribosomal RNA", at positions 9 to 655 of the family's 1533-position model. Lineage: Bacteria; Bacillati; Bacillota; Bacilli; Caryophanales; Staphylococcaceae. The record is from RNAcentral.